GAUGAAGAACGUAGCGAAAUGCGAUAAGUAAUGCGAAUUGCAGAAUUUCCGUGAGUCAUCGAAUCUUUGAACGCACAUUGCGCCCACUGGUAUUCCGGUGGGCAUGCCUGUUCGAGCGUCAUUAUCCUCCCUCAAACCCCGGGUUUGGUGUUGGACCCAAGUUGUGUGAACAACUGGUCUCAAAGACAAUGACGGCGUCCAUGGGACCCUCGGUGCAACGAGCUUUUAGGAGCACGCAUCGAGUUGCAAGGACCUUCCGGGCCGGUCUCCUUUACCAUUUUACAAGGUUGACCUCGGAUCAGGUAGGAAUACCCGCUGAACUUAAGCAUAUCAAUAAGCGGAGGA
This 345-nucleotide unclassified non-coding RNA is filed under the name soil metagenome. RNAcentral describes it as "partial contains 5.8S ribosomal RNA, internal transcribed spacer 2, and large subunit ribosomal RNA". The stretch from base 1 to 121 matches the Rfam family "5.8S ribosomal RNA", at positions 35 to 154 of the family's 154-position model. The record is from RNAcentral.